Molecule: ribosomal RNA, 429 nt
Filed under: Gemmatimonadota bacterium
Lineage: Bacteria; Pseudomonadati; Gemmatimonadota
Description: Gemmatimonadetes bacterium partial 16S ribosomal RNA
Rfam family: Bacterial small subunit ribosomal RNA
Source: RNAcentral
UAGGGAAUCUUCGGCAAUGGACGAAAGUCUGACCGAGCAACGCUGCGUGAGUGAAGAAGGUUUUCGGAUCGUAAAACUCUGUUGUUAGAGAAGAACAAGGACGUUAGUAACUGAACGUCCCCUGACGGUAUCUAACCAGAAAGCCACGGCUAACUACGUGCCAGCAGCCGCGGUAAUACGUAGGUGGCAAGCGUUGUCCGGAUUUAUUGGGCGUAAAGCGAGCGCAGGCUGUUUCUUAAGUCUGUUGUGAAAGCCCCCGGCUCAACCGGGGAGGGUCAUUGGAAACUGGGAGCCUUGAGUGCAGAAGAGGAGAGUGGAAUUCCAUGUGUAGCGGUGAAAUUCGUAGAUAUAUGGAGGAACACCAGUGGCGAAGGCUGCUCUCUGGUCUGUAACUGACGCUGAGGCUCGAAAGCGUGGGGAGCAAACAGG